Molecule: ribosomal RNA, 1005 nt
Filed under: Triticum aestivum (bread wheat)
Lineage: Eukaryota; Viridiplantae; Streptophyta; Magnoliopsida; Poales; Poaceae
Description: partial small subunit ribosomal RNA
Source: RNAcentral
UAAACACCCCGAACCGGUAGGGGGGAGUCACACCUGCACGACCCUUCCUGCAUCCUGCGGUCCUGCCACGCCCCACCUCACCGAGCGUCUCCGGCCACCCCCUGCCGCCGAGCGUCGCCCCCGCGCCUCUGCCUCACCUAGCGCCCGAUCCAGCCGUCGUUCAUCGCCAGCACACGUGGAUCCGGCCGCCCCUCGCCUUCCCCAUCGGCUGCACCUCCUAGCGCCACCGCCCCUGCCAUACUCCGCCGCUGGAGGAUCUCCGCCCUGCCUGGAUCCACAUCCCCGCGGCGACACCGGCAGUCGGCGACGAUGGACGACCACGGUGUAGUGCCCUUGGUCCUCGCCGUCCCCUUGCCUAUAUGCAAGUAAAAGCGACCAUGGUUCAGGCAUCUGUUGGUUAUUGAAAAAUCUGACAACCGCAAGAGAAUAAGAGCUGCAGACUCAGAGUGUAUGUGAUAUCCCUGCCAGAUUGCUACAGCAUAUUCAUGCAGGUGUUGAGGCAGGGAAAAGGCAGCAGUAGAGGCAUGGGCACUUCAGAAAAGGGUGUUGACUGUUCUGAUUGAGGCCAGUUGAAGGCUUCCACGUGCCACCUCCUUCGCCUCCUACGCCGCGUCGAGAAAGGCGGACACGUGCGGUAGGAGCCAAGGGGGAACAGGGAAAGGCGGACACGAGAUUCGUGAACCCAGAGAAGAGAAUGUAUGCGAGCUUGUCCACCUCGGCGGUGUCAGCCGCCAGUGCCACCGUGUCCCGCCUCCGCCUGGCCUGGUCGCAACAAAAGUAUGACUGCAGGUGUGGUUCAUUCAGUUUUGAAGUUUGAUUUACUUGCUUGUGCAUGUGUGUGUGUAUUCUAAGAGAGAGGGAGAGAUUAUUCUGUUCUAGCCAGUCGUAUUUCUGGACAAAUCUGCUCCCCUCCACUCCUUUUUUAUUUGCCUUAAAUCUGAACAUGAAAAGCAGUUACAAAUUGAGAGCAACAGAGUAAACGUUCAAAAGUUCAGAGCGGGUGCA